ACGUAGGUGGCAAGCGUUGUCCGGAUUUACUGGGUGUAAAGGGCGAGUAGGCGGAAUUGCAAGUCAGAUGUGAAAUACCACGGCUUAACUGUGGGGCUGCAUUUGAAACUGCGGUUCUUGAGUGAUGGAGAGGCAGGCGGAAUUCCUAGUGUAGCGGUGAAAUGCGUAGAUAUUAGGAGGAACACCAGUGGCGAAGGCGGCCUGCUGGACAUUAACUGACGCUGAGGCGCGAAAGCGUGGGGAGCAAACAG
This 251-nucleotide ribosomal RNA is filed under the name uncultured prokaryote. Its description in RNAcentral is "partial 16S rRNA". It matches the Rfam family "Bacterial small subunit ribosomal RNA", at positions 525 to 775 of the family's 1533-position model. The record is from RNAcentral.